RNAcentral lists this ribosomal RNA (593 nucleotides) under uncultured Bacteroidota bacterium. RNAcentral describes it as "bacterial SSU rRNA". It matches the Rfam family "Bacterial small subunit ribosomal RNA", at positions 122 to 715 of the family's 1533-position model. Lineage: Bacteria; Pseudomonadati; Bacteroidota. The record is from RNAcentral.
CAACCAACCUACCAGCGGGGGAUAAUCCACCGAAAGGUGGUCUAAGACCGCAUAAGACAGGGGCACCGCAUGGUGCUAUUUGUUAAAGGGAACACUGGUAGACGGGCAUGCGUUCCAUUAGGCAGUUGGAGGGGUAACGGCCCACCAAACCGACGAUGGAUAGGGGUUCUGAGAGGAAGGUCCCCCACAUUGGUACUGAGACACGGACCAAACUCCUACGGGAGGCAGCAGUGAGGAAUAUUGGUCAAUGGGCGGAAGCCUGAACCAGCCAAGUCGCGUGAAGGAAGAAGGAUCUAUGGUUUGUAACUUCUUUUGAAGGGGGAUAAAGUGCGUCACGAGUGGUGCAUUGCAGGUACCCUUGGAAUAAGCAUCGGCUAACUCCGUGCCAGCAGCCGCGGUAAUACGGAGGAUGCGAGCGUUAUCCGGAUUUAUUGGGUUUAAAGGGUGCGUAGGUGGCUUUUUAAGUCAGCGGUGAAAACUGGCGGCUCAACCGCAAGAGUGCCGUUGAAACUGGGGAGCUAGAGUAUGAACGAGGUAGGCGGAAUGUGUGGUGUAGCGGUGAAAUGCAUAGAUAUCACGAAGAACUCCGAUUG